Molecule: non-coding RNA, 261 nt
Organism: Ciona intestinalis (vase tunicate)
Lineage: Eukaryota; Metazoa; Chordata; Ascidiacea; Phlebobranchia; Cionidae
Source: RefSeq, a predicted model, not a curated record
UGUUUAAGCAUAACAUCGCGGCUUUAGUUUCGGGACAUCCCCAAAUAUGAAACUAGUCCAUUUAAAAUCUGAUACACGCAUGUUGGUUUUGUAAAGUGGGUCAUUUGGUUGGUUAAGUGGAUUUCAAAACCAGCAAGCGUGCUAGAGGAAGUAUAUACACAUUCUACAUAAGAAAAUCAUGGGGUCAAAACGUAACUUUCUUGCUAUUUUGAGCGUUUCGAACAAACAUGGCCUAGAAAACUUUGCGAAAAGAUUGCAAAA